UCAUUAAGGAAAAGGAGAAAACCAAACAAACAAAGAAACUUCAUUCUGUGCUCCUGCCGUGCUGACGUGUCAUCACAAUUACCCGGAAGCCGGUGACAUCACAGUUAAAGGUCCUCCUGAAACCAACAACAGAAAACCUGUUCCAGCGCCUGCCUCUGAGCAAGAUUAUUUUCUCAUCAGACCUCUCUUGCUGUGGGGCAAUCUAUAUUGGAGCCCUAAUCCGUUGGAUUAUAAUGGACAUUUAUUUUUGGAGAAGAAUUUUGUGAUUAUUUUUUGAUGGCUAUAUAUUUAUUUUUCUUUUUGAAAUACAAGGACUGUUAAGCCUAAUUUUUUGUUGUCUUUUUGUGAAAAGUUUUCAUUCCUUAUUUGUAAGGGUCUACACACGCAAAAGUGUAUGGUCCUUGUGUGACUGGUUUAAAAAUCUAUAUAUAUUGAUCCUACUUGUCAGGAGGGAUACCUGACUGGCACCGCUAAAAAGUGACA
This is a long non-coding RNA of Cyprinodon tularosa, 483 nucleotides long. RefSeq lists it as uncharacterized. The transcript has 3 exons. NCBI's taxonomy places the organism in Eukaryota, Metazoa, Chordata, Actinopteri, Cyprinodontiformes, Cyprinodontidae. The record is from RefSeq and is a predicted model, not a curated record.